This 470-nucleotide ribosomal RNA is filed under the name uncultured bacterium. RNAcentral describes it as "bacterial SSU rRNA". It matches the Rfam family "Bacterial small subunit ribosomal RNA", at positions 8 to 485 of the family's 1533-position model. The record is from RNAcentral.
AGAGUUUGAUCCCUGGCUCAGGACGAACGCUGGCGGCGCGCCUAACACAUGCAAGUCGAACGGGACCAUUUUAGAGCUUACUUUGGGAUGGUUUAGUGGCGGACGGGUGAGUAACACGUGAGCAACCUACCUUUCAGAGGGGGAUAACAGUUGGAAACGACUGCUAAUACCGCAUAACGUUGUAAAAGGGCAUCCAUUUACAACCAAAAGAGAAAUCUGCUGAAAGAUGGGCUCGCGGCCGAUUAGAUAGUAGGCGGGGUAACGGCCCACCUAGUCAACGAUCGGUAGCCGGACUGAGAGGUUGAACGGCCACAUUGGGACUGAGACACGGCCCAGACUCCUACGGGAGGCAGCAGUGGGGGAUAUUGCACAAUGGGCGAAAGCCUGAUGCAGCGACGCCGCGUGAGGGAAGAUGGUCUUCGGAUUGUAAACCUCUGUCUUUGGGGAAGAAUAGAGACGGUACCCAAAGA